UAACCAUACAAGUAAAGAGUUUCACAUACAAUUCACAUAAUUGCAAAUCAAUUCAAGUAGCCUUUAAUGGAUAUUCAAGGAACACAAUAUAAAUCAUGGAUACAAAUGGAAUAUCAUCAUCUCUAUGAUUGCCUCUAGGGCAUACCUCCAACACUACAGCACGCUCCAAUCUUCCACCCAAUCACGGUGCCGCAAGAUCAACAGCACAUGCCGAUAACUCAGCCGAUCGCACAUCAGCAGCAGCAGGUGGAUUGGACCGCGAAAAUAGCUGAUAUAAUACAAGAUCAGUUCGGAUUGAAACCAAAAGUGCAGACCUACACAUACAGGACGCCGUACCCACCC
RNAcentral lists this long non-coding RNA (342 nucleotides) under Setaria viridis. RNAcentral describes it as "long non-coding RNA (SVIR_LNC001706)". The record is from RNAcentral. Lineage: Eukaryota; Viridiplantae; Streptophyta; Magnoliopsida; Poales; Poaceae.